AUUGAACGCUGGCGGCAUGCCUUACACAUGCAAGUCGAACGGUAACAGGUCUUCGGAUGCUGACGAGUGGCGAACGGGUGAGUAAUACAUCGGAACGUGCCCAGACGUGGGGGAUAAUGAGGCGAAAGCUUUGCUAAUACCGCAUACGAUCUAAGGAUGAAAGCAGGGGACCGCAAGGCCUUGCGCGUUUGGAGCGGCCGAUGGCAGAUUAGGUAGUUGGUGGGAUAAAAGCUUACCAAGCCGACGAUCUGUAGCUGGUCUGAGAGGACGACCAGCCACACUGGGACUGAGACACGGCCCAGACUCCUACGGGAGGCAGCAGUGGGGAAUUUUGGACAAUGGGCGAAAGCCUGAUCCAGCAAUGCCGCGUGCAGGAUGAAGGCCUUCGGGUUGUAAACUGCUUUUGUACGGAACGAAAAGGCUCUGGCUAAUACCUGGGGCACAUGACGGUACCGUAAGAAUAAGCACCGGCUAACUACGUG
Molecule: ribosomal RNA, 482 nt
Filed under: uncultured bacterium
Lineage: Bacteria
Description: partial 16S ribosomal RNA
Rfam family: Bacterial small subunit ribosomal RNA
Source: RNAcentral